RNAcentral lists this long non-coding RNA (1443 nucleotides) under Harpegnathos saltator (Jerdon's jumping ant). Its description in RNAcentral is "uncharacterized LOC105190533, transcript variant X2". The record is from RNAcentral. Lineage: Eukaryota; Metazoa; Arthropoda; Insecta; Hymenoptera; Formicidae.
UGUGAGAAAACUUACAAUACGUGUUAAUUCGUCGGAACGGUAAGACGUAUCGGAAAGAAAUUCGUGUUAAAUUUUAUAAGUGAAAUAUAAAUUUUGUGAUGAAGAAUAUUGCGAUAAUUAAACAGCACAAUGAAAAUGUUCCUCCAUGUUUUCUUAAUAAUUAUGCUGAUAAUGUUCAGUCUAAUAUCAUUUGGAAAGUCAAAAAGAGUCCAUCCAGCAACACAGCCUUCGUCUACGACCAACGCAUAUCCUACACCAACUGCACCACCUGCAAGGCCUACAGCUAAUAUUAUAGACACUCCGAAUUUUAAAGAAGUGAUUUGCCCACCAGGGAAACUAAAAGAUCCACGCGGAAUAUGUCGCGACAAGCAAUAGCAUUAAAGACAAGCAGGCUUAAUACUAUUUGAAUACUAUGUGAAACGUUCCACAUCACAAAAAUCACGCAUCAAACAAUACAGCAGAUGUGAAAAAUUAAUACAAGGGACAUAAAAUAACAUAUGACAACUUACAAAUGUGAAUAAAUAUUAAUUAUCACUAAUGAAGUCAAUUAUUCUGACGUUCUAUAUAUCUCCUGGAAUAAUCUGUAAUCUAUAAUAAUUUACAGAUGCUUAUGGUAACGAAAAGUACUAUAAGAAUUAUGUAUGUGUAAUAGUAUAAUAUGUUGGAACUGUAUGAAAAAUUAUUCGAUUAAAAAGUCUUAACAAAACCAAUUCAGCAAGAGACACAACAGUGUCUCGCGCCAAGUGCACGCGAGAGCGACGUGACGUGCAUGGGCCGCGAGACCGAUCGGGGUCUCUUUACGCGAAUCAAGAGACACAGCAGUGUCUCGCGCCAAGUGCACGCGAAAGCGACGCGACGCGCAUGGGCCGCGAGACCGGCCGGGUAUCUUUACGCGAAGCACUUGGUUGAUCGGACACAAGAUUAUCGUAUCACCCAAACUGCUAAUCUGAUCGAGUUCUAAGUGAGCUCAAUAAAUUCCUUGGAGUCGACUUACAUAACAACACUGUCUUUACUUUUAUCCUACGUGCACUAUUUUUUAGUAAAAAUUUCUAAAAUAAGAAACGUCAGCACGGUUUACUAAAAGUGCAUACAGGACAUAAAUUCAAUUUCCAAUCUCCUCUAAGAAGUAUGUAUCAAGUAAAAUGUUUCGGAAGACUAUGACCCGUCGAGAACAAACAACACAGUUCCCGCAUACUGCUGAAAUAUAUCCAACAGGUUAUAGUAUUCACCCAGGAUAUCAUUUUAUAGAUACCCCGAAUCUCAGAGCUGCGAUUUGUCCACCAGGGUAACUAAAAGACUCACGCGGUGUAUGUCGAGAUAUUGCGGGAUAAGCCAUAACAUUGAAGACAAGCAAAGAAUCUAAAUAUUUGAAGCAUAUCACAAAAAUUAUCAAACAAUACAACAGGUGCGAAGAGGUUAUUCAAGAAACAUAAAAUAACAUAU